This 492-nucleotide ribosomal RNA is filed under the name uncultured bacterium. Its description in RNAcentral is "partial 16S ribosomal RNA". It matches the Rfam family "Bacterial small subunit ribosomal RNA", at positions 29 to 507 of the family's 1533-position model. The record is from RNAcentral.
AGUGAACGCUGGCGGUAGGCCUAACACAUGCAAGUCGAACGGCAGCACAGUAAGAGCUUGCUCUUACGGGUGGCGAGUGGCGGACGAGUGAGGAAUACAUCGGAAUCUACUUUUUCGUGGGGGAUGACGUAGGGAAACUUACGCUAAUACCGCAUACGACCUACGGGUGAAAGCAGGGGAUCUUCGGACCUUGCGCGAUUGAAUGAGCCGAUGUCGGAUUAGCUAGUUGGCGGGGUAAAGGCCCACCAAGGCGACGAUCCGUAGCUGGUCUGAGAGGAUGAUCAGCCACACUGGAACUGAGACACGGUCCAGACUCCUACGGGAGGCAGCAGUGGGGAAUAUUGGACAGUGGGCGCAAGCCUGAUCCAGCCAUACCGCGUGGGUGAAGAAGGCCUUCGGGUUGUAAAGCCCUUUUGUUGGGAAAGAAAAGCAGCAGGUUAAUACCCCGCUGUUCUGACGGUACCCAAAGAAUAAGCACCGGCUAACUUCGUG